GCAGAAGUGGCGGAAUUUGGUAUACGCACUAGAUUUAGGACCUAGUUUUUUAAGAGUUCAAGUCUCUUCUUCUGUA
Molecule: transfer RNA, 76 nt
Filed under: Nitzschia sp. PL1-4
Lineage: Eukaryota; Bacillariophyta; Bacillariophyceae; Bacillariales; Bacillariaceae
Description: tRNA-Leu
Rfam family: tRNA
About the family: Transfer RNA (tRNA) molecules are approximately 80 nucleotides in length.
Source: RNAcentral